This 107-nucleotide small nuclear RNA is filed under the name Salvator merianae (Argentine black and white tegu). The record is from RNAcentral. Lineage: Eukaryota; Metazoa; Chordata; Lepidosauria; Squamata; Teiidae.
AUGCUCGCUUUGGCAACACAUAUACCAAAACUGGAACAAUACAGAAAAGAUUAGCGUGGCUCCUGCAUAAGGAUGACAUGCAAAUUUGUGAAGCAUUCCAUCUUUUU